UUCUCCUUCUUCUCUUGCUCAUAGUUGCUCAUCUCUCUCUCUCUCUCUCUCUCACACAAGGGCGUAGGGUAGCAGAGGCGGCAGCGUGCAGUGGCGUCCAGCAGCGGCAGCAUCUCUCAGUCGCUCAGCGGCGUCUCUCUCCUUCUCUCUCACGUGCUCACUCAGUCUCAAUCGCCUCUCUCUCACUCACUCAGUGGCGUAGAGCAGCGAGUUGGCGUAGAGCGACUACGAGUAGCGACGGCGAGUAGGGGCAGUGGCAGCAGCGUCCCACUCCAUCGUCAUCUUCUCCAAGUCCUACUGCCCAUAUGCUCUCUCUCUCUCUCUCUCUCUCUCUCUAUAAAAACGUUCUUAACAAUUUGACUUAGCUUUAAAACUAAUUCAGGAAACAUGUUUACACCUUUCACACAUGAAUUCACACCUUCCUCUAUUUCCCCAUUUCUCACUUUUGAUCUAGGGUUUAUAUAAUUUAUUCAAUUUAAUUUCUUGUUUUUUUGGUUUAAUUUCUUCAAAUUGCGGUAAAUUUGGAGUUGCAUUUGUAUAUUUUCUAGCUAAUUUUUCUAUUCUCUUUGUUUUUGUUGGGGGAAUUGGGAUUGUCUUGAAUGUUCCUUUGAAAGUGUAGAUUUAUUUUAUUUUAUUUUAUUUGGGUAACAAUUGACAAAACAAAAAAACAAAAAACAAAAGCACUAAUUUGUAAUGUAGCAGGGAUGUGCCUUUUACAACUCCAAAAUCAAUAUAUGCGAUGAUGGUAUCUAAUAGCCUUCUAAAUUUUAAUUUAUCAAACUAAUUGGUUGAAGGGUUCAGCUGGUGUGGGUUGCAGAAGUGCUGACUUUUUCUUACUUGUUUACAGGAUUCAACUGAAGUAGUAUUUGCCCCAACAAGUGAUGUGUUUCAAACUCUUAAGCGGUAUAACAAUGUUCAAUUGGAUGGAAAGCCUAUGAGGAUUGAAAUAAUAGGCACCAACUCAGAGGUUCAUGUUUCAACUCGUGUCAAUGUAAUUGGAGGUGUAAAUGGGACGCGAACUGUUGUUAUAUUUUGUGGAUCUUGUAAUCGAGUUUGAUCUUAAGGUGACUCUUCUUAAAGGCCUUAGACAGGAAUUGAUGAGCAGAUUAGAGAUCAUAUAUGGACAUGUUUGGUAAUUUGGAGAGCAGAAGCUUGCGCAUUUUGUGUUUUUGUUAAUAUUACCUUACAUGUAUUUUGGUUGUGUUGUAAAUUUUAUAUUUUUCUAGGUAUCAGGGGAUAUGUUUGGUAAUCUGCACUUGAUAUUAUAUUUUUGUGGAUAUUAGGAGACAUUUUUUUUUUUUUUAAUAUUAGGAGACGUGUUUGGUAAUCCGCAGUUGAUAUUGUAUUUUUGUGGAUAUUAUGAGACAUUUUGACUAUG
Non-coding RNA from Camellia sinensis, 1378 nucleotides. Lineage: Eukaryota; Viridiplantae; Streptophyta; Magnoliopsida; Ericales; Theaceae. The record is from RefSeq and is a predicted model, not a curated record.